UACGUAGGGCGCAAGCGUUGUCCGGAAUUAUUGGGCGUAAAGAGCUCGUAGGCGGCUUGUCACGUCGGGUGUGAAAGCCCGGGGCUUAACCCCGGGUCUGCAUUCGAUACGGGCUAGCUAGAGUGUGGUAGGGGAGAUCGGAAUUCCUGGUGUAGCGGUGAAAUGCGCAGAUAUCAGGAGGAACACCGGUGGCGAAGGCGGGUCUCUGGGCCGUUACUGACGCUGAGGAGCGAAAGCGUGGGGAGCGAACAGG
This 253-nucleotide ribosomal RNA is filed under the name uncultured bacterium. Its description in RNAcentral is "partial 16S ribosomal RNA". It matches the Rfam family "Bacterial small subunit ribosomal RNA", at positions 524 to 776 of the family's 1533-position model. The record is from RNAcentral.